GACGAACGCUGGCGGCGUGCUUAACACAUGCAAGUCGAACGGAAAGGCCCUGCUUUUGUGGGGUGCUCGAGUGGCGAACGGGUGAGUAACACGUGAGUACCUGCCCUUGACUUUGGGAUAACUUCAGGAAACUGGGGCUAAUACCGGAUAGGAGCUCCUGCUGCAUGGUGGGGGUUGGAAAGUUUCGGCGGUUGGGGAUGGACUCGCGGCUUAUCAGCUUGUUGGUGGGGUAGUGGCUUACCAAGGCUUUGACGGGUAGCCGGCCUGAGAGGGUGACCGGCCACAUUGGGACUGAGAUACGGCCCAGACUCCUACGGGAGGCAGCAGUGGGGAAUAUUGCACAAUGGGCGGAAGCCUGAUGCAGCAACGCCGCGUGCGGGAUGACGGCCUUCGGGUUGUAAACCGCUUUCGCCUGUGACGAAGCGUGAGUGACGGUAAUGGGUAAAGAAGCACCGGCUAACUACGUG
Molecule: ribosomal RNA, 467 nt
Filed under: uncultured bacterium
Lineage: Bacteria
Description: partial 16S ribosomal RNA
Rfam family: Bacterial small subunit ribosomal RNA
Source: RNAcentral